CGGCCGCGGUAUCCUGACCGUGCAAAGGUAGCAUAAUCACUUGUUCCCUAAUUAGGGACUAGAAUGAAUGGCCAAACGAGGAUUCAACUGUCUCUUAUUUUUUANUCAGUGAAAUUGACCUUUCAGUGAAGAGGCUGAAAUACUAAAAUAAGACGAGAAGACCCUAUGGAGCUUAAAUUAAAAGUUUAAUUUUACUCUUAUUAACCUAAUGGUUUAACACAAAAAUUUUAAACUCUAAAUUUCGGUUGGGGUGACCUCGGAGAACAAAAAAUCCUCCGAAUGAUUCUAACAUAGACCAACAAGUCAAAGUAACCCAAAGAUCUUAUUGACCCAAAAAUUUUUUGAUCAACGGACCAAGUUACCCUAGGGAUAACAGCGCAAUCCUAUUUUAGAGUCCAUAUCGACAAUAGGGUUUACGACCUCGAUGUUGGAUCAGGACAUCCCAAUGGUGCA
This 453-nucleotide ribosomal RNA is filed under the name Melomys lutillus (Papua grassland Melomys). RNAcentral's name for it is "partial 16S ribosomal RNA". It matches the Rfam family "Bacterial large subunit ribosomal RNA", at positions 1928 to 2557 of the family's 2925-position model. Lineage: Eukaryota; Metazoa; Chordata; Mammalia; Rodentia; Muridae. The record is from RNAcentral.